AACGCAUAUUGCGCCCUCUGGUAUUCCGGGGGGCAUGCCUGCUCGAGCGUCAUUAUAACCCUCAAGCUAAGCUUGGUAUUAGGUCUCGUUCGUAAGAGCGUACCAUAAAAUCAGUGGCGGUGUCAUUCGGCUUCAAGCGUAGUAAAUUUUCUCGCUUUAGAGGUCUGGUUGUAUACUUGCCAAUAACCCUAAAAUUUUUAUCAAAGGUUGACCUCGGAUCAGGUAGGGAUACCCGCUGAACUUAA
RNAcentral lists this unclassified non-coding RNA (245 nucleotides) under uncultured fungus. RNAcentral's name for it is "sequence contains ITS2". The record is from RNAcentral. Lineage: Eukaryota; Fungi.